GACGAACGCUGGCGGCGUGCUUAACACAUGCAAGUCGAACGGAAAGGCCCUGCUUUUGUGGGGUGCUCGAGUGGCGAACGGGUGAGUAACACGUGAGUAACCUGCCCUUGACUUUGGGAUAACUUCAGGAAACUGGGGCUAAUACCGGAUAGGAGCUCCUGCUGCAUGGUGGGGGCUGGAAAGUUUCGGCGGUUGGGGAUGGACUCGCGGCUUAUCAGCUUGUUGGUGGGGUAGUGGCUUACCAAGGCUUUGACGGGUAGCCGGCCUGAGAGGGUGACCGGCCCCAUUGGGACUGAGAUACGGCCCAGACUCCUACGGGAGGCAGCGGUGGGGAAUAUUGCACCGUAGGCGGAAGCCUGAUGCAGCAACGCCGCGUGCGGGAUGACGGCCUUCGGGUUGUAAACCGCUUUCGCCUGUGACGAAGCGUGAGUGACGGUAAUGGGUAAAGAAGCACCGGCUAACUACGUG
Molecule: ribosomal RNA, 468 nt
Filed under: uncultured bacterium
Lineage: Bacteria
Description: partial 16S ribosomal RNA
Rfam family: Bacterial small subunit ribosomal RNA
Source: RNAcentral